GCCAGGUGUGGUGGUGCACACCUGUGAUCCCAGCUACUCAGGAGGCUGAGGCAGGAGAAUUGCCUGAACCCAGGAGGUGGAGGUUGCAGUGGGCCAAGAUCGAAUCACUGCACUCCAGCCUGGGUGACAGAGCAAGACUCUGUCUCAA
Molecule: non-coding RNA, 148 nt
Filed under: Nomascus leucogenys (northern white-cheeked gibbon)
Lineage: Eukaryota; Metazoa; Chordata; Mammalia; Primates; Hylobatidae
Source: Rfam by way of RNAcentral